RNAcentral lists this long non-coding RNA (1737 nucleotides) under Homo sapiens (human). Its description in RNAcentral is "HSALNT0329832". Lineage: Eukaryota; Metazoa; Chordata; Mammalia; Primates; Hominidae. The record is from RNAcentral.
GGCUGCAGACCUGCCGGGGCGCAGAGAUGGAGAUGCCCAGAUGGCAGGGAGAGAUCCUAAACCCUCAGCCUUGCCCUGGCCCACCGCGGAAUGGCCCGGAGAGAUGGGGGGUUGGGGAAGAACAACAGGAUGGGGAAGGGAGGGCCAAUCAGGCUCAUCUGAAUGUAGGUCAGCCACACCCCACAUAUUGAAUACCAAGAAUCCAUCCCCUGAGAAAGGGCACCCAGGCCGGCCCUACCCCCAGCCUCGCGUCUGGUCCAAGGAGGUCCCAGGGCAGGAAUUAGAAGAGCAUGUCACUAUAUUUCCAGUUGGGGAGGGGUGCUGAGUCUGAGUGAGGAGGUGGUUUCAGUGCCAGGAGGAAUAGAAACUGGCCUGCGGACUGAAUGGGCCUUGAACCCCUGUGACCACUCCCUUCAAGAAUGUGCCCCAACCUUACGGACAAGUGACUCAAAGGAGCCUGAGGGGGAUGGGAGCAAGGAUUUGGCGUGAGUACCUCCCCCACAUGCACAUACAUACAUGUUCCCUUCCCACCCAACUCCUGCCAAAGUUCAGAGUGUCUAUCCUUGCCCUUUCUGUGGCCCCAACUACCCUGGCUCACAGUGCUGCCUGGAAUAGGGGGCCACCAUGCCUCCACCCUCCCCAGGUCUCACUUCCACCUCUGGGCCUGAGUGCCCUGGGCUGGGUAGGCUGGUGAGGGUUGGCCUGUGGGCACCAGUGGUCUCCCAGACAAGGCCCAGGGAAGAUGUGCUGUGUGGGUGAGCAGCCCUGUGUGUGGGCGCUGGAAAAAACCCUGACCUAGGAGUUCAAAGACUGGGUUCUCAUCCUGGCUUAGUCACAGACUUAUUGGAUGUCUUUGAGUAAGACCCUUCCCUUCUCCAAGGCUCCAUUUUCUUACAUGUAAGUGGAGACAGUUGGGGUAGAUUAUUUCCAAGGUUCAAAUCAUACUUUCAUGCAGUACACUGGACCUUAAGUGAGAGGAAGUGGCCUCAGGAAUAGGAUGCUUGGCUUGCUCACUUUCGGCAAGUGGAGAAGAGGUUUAUCUUUGCUGAAUCUAAAUUUUCCUUCUUUCUUUCUUCCUUUCUUUUUUUGACACAGGGUCUUACUCUGCCAUCCAGGCUGGAGUGCAGUAGCAAUCAUAGCUCACUGCAACCUCAAACUCCUGGGCUCAAGUGACCCUCCUGCCUCAGCCUCCUAAGUAGCUGGGACUACAGGCACGUGCCACCAAGUCUGGCUAACUUUUAAAUAUUUUGUAGAGAGGGGCUCAUAUGUUGCCCAGGCUGGUCUCGAACUCCUGGGUGCAAGCCAAUGGCUUCCCAUAGUGCUAGGAUUACAGGCAUGAGCCUCCACACCCAGCCCCUUACAAGGUUUUUAACACUUUAAAAAAACAAAACAAAAAAAUCUUAUUGGCUGGGCACGGUGGCUCACACCUGUAAUCCCAGCACUUCGGGAGGCUGAUGCGGAUGGAUCACUUGAGCUCAGGAGGUCGAGACCACCCUGAGCAACAUGGCAAAACCCCAUCUCUACAAAAAAUACAGAAAACUAGCAGGGCAUGGUGGCACACGCAUGUGCUGCUAGCUACUCAGGAGGUUGUGGUGGGAGGAUCGCUUGAGCCCGAGAGAGGUUGCGGCUGCAGUGAGCCCAGAUCGUGCCACUGUACUCCAGUCUGGGCAACAGAGCGAGACCCUGUCUCAAAACAAAACAAAACAAAAACAAACUUAUUGUUUCACUCAUUAAAAA